UAUAGCUCAAAUUUGAAAUCUGGCGCCUUCGGUGUCCGAGUUGUAAUUUGAAGAAGGUAUCUUUGGUUUUGGCUCUUGUCUAUGUUCCUUGGAACAGGACGUCACAGAGGGUGAGAAUCCCGUGCGAUGAGAUGCCCAAUUCCAUGUAAAGUUCCUUCGACGAGUCGAGUUGUUUGGGAAUGCAGCUCUAAGUGGGUGGUAAAUUCCAUCUAAAGCUAAAUAUUGGCGAGAGACCGAUAGCGAACAAGUACUGUGAAGGAAAGAUGAAAAGAACUUUGAAAAGAGAGUGAAAAAGUACGUGAAAUUGUUGAAAGGGAAGGGCUUGAGGUCAGACUUGGUUUUACCAGGCCAGCAUCAGUUUGGAUGGCAGGAUAAUAGCUUAGGAAUGUGGCACUGCUUCGGUAGUGUGUUAUAGCCUGGGUUGAUACUGCCUGUCUAGACUGAGGACUGCGUCUUUGACUAGGAUGCUGGCAUAAUGACCUUAAGCC
RNAcentral lists this ribosomal RNA (488 nucleotides) under Yamadazyma mexicana. RNAcentral's name for it is "eukaryotic LSU rRNA". It matches the Rfam family "Eukaryotic large subunit ribosomal RNA", at positions 103 to 646 of the family's 3401-position model. Lineage: Eukaryota; Fungi; Ascomycota; Pichiomycetes; Serinales; Debaryomycetaceae. The record is from RNAcentral.